RNAcentral lists this long non-coding RNA (406 nucleotides) under Sus scrofa (pig). RNAcentral describes it as "lncRNA (ENSSSCG00065007747.1)". Lineage: Eukaryota; Metazoa; Chordata; Mammalia; Artiodactyla; Suidae. The record is from RNAcentral.
AGAGAGAGGCAGCUGCUGGCUGUGAACUUCCUGCCACGGAUUGUGCCCUUAUCAGAGCUGUACAAGGUCUCUCAGAAGGAUCCCUGUGCAGCUCCGCCUUCUCAGUCCUUUUCUUCAUGGAAUCAAAGAAUCAGCCUUUUGAUGGAAGGAAGACAUACCACAGAGAUGCUGAAUGUGUGCCCCCCUCUGCACCCAAUAUAAGGUUCAGAGAUGCUUGAAGAUCUGGGUCAGGCUGAAUGUCUCUCCAUUUGUUCUCCAGAUGGGCUGCAGUUACCAGCCCCUUGGUGACUUGUGGGCAGAUCAAAAUCGAUCCUACAGCCCCAGUUGCUCUUGGUUUCCUUCUGAGUUCCUGGGCAGGUGUUGGUACUGAAAAAAUAUGUCACAAGUCAGAGCAGCAUAAUGCAGG